CGGGGAGUAGUAUAGUGGUAGUACACCUGCUUUGGGAGCAGGCAGCCCGAGUUCGAAUCUCGGCUCCCCGA
Molecule: transfer RNA, 71 nt
Filed under: bacterium
Lineage: Bacteria
Description: tRNA-Pro
Rfam family: tRNA
About the family: Transfer RNA (tRNA) molecules are approximately 80 nucleotides in length. Their secondary structure includes four short double-helical elements and three loops (D, anti-codon, and T loops).
Source: RNAcentral